AUCCAGAUGACGAGUCCCAAAUAAGAAAAAACGCGCGUUCUGGAU
This is a non-coding RNA of Schistosoma margrebowiei, 45 nucleotides long. The record is from Rfam. NCBI's taxonomy places the organism in Eukaryota, Metazoa, Platyhelminthes, Trematoda, Strigeidida, Schistosomatidae.